Molecule: long non-coding RNA, 1876 nt
Organism: Alligator mississippiensis (American alligator)
Lineage: Eukaryota; Metazoa; Chordata; Crocodylia; Alligatoridae
Exons: 4
Source: RefSeq, a predicted model, not a curated record
ACAUGACCCUAGGAGGACCCUGGGAUUGGCUGAGGGGGUGGAGCAGCUUCCAUUUUAACCCAGGCUCUCAGAGGGAGAAGCACCAGUCUGAGAUGAUCAGGCAAGAAAGCAACAUCAGCCUGAGCUUCUCCUGGAACACCUUGGAGGUCAUGGACAGAUAAACACAGAUGGAAACAAAGAACAGCUUGACUUGGUACGGAAACUGAGUGGUUCUGCAGGCAUAAGGGAUAAAAGAGCCUUCCAUUGUAUAUGGUGUAUCAAGAUUACAGAAACCGCUUGCUGUGGGCCACAACAGGCAACUCUGGGAAUGAAAUUAGCAGGACCACUCUUAAGUUUCUAGAUACCUGACUCAAGACCCUGGGGUCUCAUUUGCAGGAGUGCUGACAACUAAAACUGGAGGCUUGGGAGUUGUACAUUAAACAUAUGAAGUCCUCUAUAAUGCCAAGUACUUCGAAUGCCUGGAUCCUAACUGCCCCAAAUGGGCCAUCUAAAAUGAAGAGAUACUUUUGGAAUGAAUCUCUGAAUGUCUUUGUGACUUAUAGGCUUUCUAUUGCAGUGUUUGACUUCUCCAAAUUGAAGGAGAGAAGCAAUGGGGAUGAGACAUGAAUAUCGGUGGUGUCUCGGCACAUUCAUGGAAAGAGGGUGUUGCAAUUAGCAGCCAUGCAGAGUCAAUGUUUCUGAAGGUGUAUUGGAAGUUUUCCAUGUGGGCAAGCCACAUGGCCGAACAUGCUCAGUCAUCCUUCAAGAGUUGAGCCAAUUAGAACAAAAGGAGAAAUUAAAAAUAUGGCAGCUAAAAGCAGCCCUAUGGUCUCAGUAACUGAUUCACAUAGAUGUUGUAGAAGCUGUGUCUCCAUACCUGUAUCACUUUGGAUAGCAGCUACAGCUUCACACUGUUUCAUAGGUAACUGGGCUAGAAUUCCUUGUAUCUGUGAAAGCUCAUGACUCUUUGUCAGCUGGCAGGAUCCUAACAUUUUUGUAAAUGAGUGAGAUGUAUCUUUUCUGCUUAGGCUCUGAAAUGCCCAGGUAACACAAAACAUAUGGUCACACUGUAAAGACAGAGAUCCCUACUCUGAGUGAAGAUCAGAGGAAAAUGUGUAUGUAUUUAUACUAAAGUAUAGAGAUAGAAAAUGCUAUGUUGAAAGCUUAUAUUUGAAUGUAUAUAAAAGCAACAUGAGGAAUGCCCAUAGCCUUUAGAGCAUAUCUGUAUGGCACAAUGCAGUGGGGAAUGAUCUGAGAGCCAACACUGCUUGCUAACUCUGGAACUAAAAGGAGUAUAGCCAUAUUUGGGCUAGGGAAACAUUCAAACAGCCAGAGCCUGAAUUAGUUUAACCUUUGCAGGUUGGUCUAACCUGCAUAGGCUGAACUGGUUUGUAACAGGACACACAUUCUCUCUGGACUGAGGCAAUGCAGGCACAUGCCUGCAGUUGCUCGGGCCAGGAGCUGGGGGGCACUAGAGCUGCAGGAAAGAUGUACUGGCGGGACACGGCCAGUCUAAACUGAACUGGCCAGAGAGGGAUUUAAUUCCUCCCUCUCUAUCCCACUUCCAGGGACCCAGAUGGGGUCUGUAGGGUGCUUCCCCCUUGCUGCUGCAGUAGCGGGGCACCAUGUGCCUUGAGGCAGGAGGAGAGUUAGUCUCCCUUCUACCCGCACUGGCAGGUGGGUCUGCCUGCCCCUACAGCUGCGCUCCCUGCCCGGGAAUAGGCCUCCUGCUGUCCCGUCCACUGGACGAUGGAUGGAGGAGGAAUAACCCUGUCCCUGCCCUGCUCACCACAAGAGGCCCUGCUCUACCCAUGCUUCCUCCCCAAUGCUUCACAAGCCCCUUCCCAGCAGGAGCACUGUGCUGUGGGGCCAGCAGAGCUGCAGCAGGCUGUGCAUG